CGCAGCUUGCUCUCGCCAUGCACCUCGCCUGUCUCAUCCUCACCGUCUUCCUGGGACAGCUCCUGGGCACCACGGGACAGGUCACGGUCACCCAGGAAGAUGGACCAGUCAUGGUGAAGCAGGGACACACCUUCCAGACCACCUGCAAAUACCAGACCAGUUAUUAUUCUCCUUCCUUGCUCUGGUACCAGCUGCAGAAAGGCCAAGCCCCACAGCUGGUCUCCUAUCAAGCAGGGCCUGGCUCCAAGCGCAAUGGCCGUAUCACCACGCACCUGAACACCACGGGGAAAUCCAGUGUCCUGCGGGUGGAGGAAGUGCAGGGCUCUGACACUGCCUUGUACCUCUGUGCUGUGCAAGACACCCUGCUGCAGGGAGCUUCCUCAGCUGUGCAACAACCCAGGGGAGAGAGGGGAUGCUCCAAAUAA
This is a non-coding RNA of Hirundo rustica (Barn swallow), 425 nucleotides long. The record is from the annotation of a RefSeq genome assembly. Lineage: Eukaryota; Metazoa; Chordata; Aves; Passeriformes; Hirundinidae.